GAUGGCAUCAAUUAUCAUGAGACACCAAUACUAUGCAUCAUCAUCAUCACCAUCAUCAUGGGUGUUUAUCUGGUUUUCGCUGUGUUCAUGAUCAAGUUUAACUCAGGACCUUCACCUCUGUUCAAGAUUCGAGGUGAAGAAAACCUCAAACUCAAGAGAUCAAAUGAACAGAGAGAUGGUAUCUGGAGUGAAUGUGUGUACUCCAGGGUGAAGCUUCACUGAACUGAAGCCAUUACGACUUUGAUGCCACAUGUCUAGACAUGAACUUAUUACUGUAGCUUUGAAAUGUUUAGGCUGUUCUCUAGCUCUUUCUAACAUUAUCCUGCUCGAUCGGUUUAAAACCUGCUCUUUUUUUCUUUGUUUUGUUCUAAAUAAAAUUCUUAUUAUCUAUUCUGUAAGACAGAGGCGUGUGGGAUGAAAGCUGACAUGUUGAUGUAAUCUCUUGCUCACUUUCUUUCUCUUUCUGUCAUUUUUAAAUGAAAGACCAG
Molecule: long non-coding RNA, 488 nt
Organism: Oreochromis niloticus (Nile tilapia)
Lineage: Eukaryota; Metazoa; Chordata; Actinopteri; Cichliformes; Cichlidae
Exons: 3
Source: RefSeq, a predicted model, not a curated record